This 23-nucleotide non-coding RNA is filed under the name Arabidopsis thaliana (thale cress). Lineage: Eukaryota; Viridiplantae; Streptophyta; Magnoliopsida; Brassicales; Brassicaceae. The record is from RNAcentral.
AUGGUGUCAAGACUCUACUUCCA